This 460-nucleotide ribosomal RNA is filed under the name uncultured bacterium. RNAcentral describes it as "partial 16S ribosomal RNA". It matches the Rfam family "Bacterial small subunit ribosomal RNA", at positions 338 to 795 of the family's 1533-position model. The record is from RNAcentral.
CCUACGGGCGGCAGCAGUGAGGAAUAUUGGUCAAUGGGCGUAAGCCUGAACCAGCCAAGUCGCGUGAGGGAUGAAGGCCCUAUGGAUUGUAAACUUCUUUUAUAAGGGAAUAAAGUGCGGGACGUGUCCCGUUUUGUAUGUACCUUAUGAAUAAGGAUCGGCUAACUCCGUGCCAGCAGCCGCGGUAAUACGGAGGAUCCGAGCGUUAUCCGGAUUUAUUGGGUUUAAAGGGAGCGUAGGCGGCUUUUUAAGUCAGUGGUGAAAGUUUGCGGCUCAACCGGAAAAUUGCCGUUGAAACUGGCAGGCUUGAGUAUAGUUGAGGCAGGCGGAAUGCGUGGUGUAGCGGUGAAAUGCUUAGAUAUCACGAAGAACCCCGAUUGCGAAGGCAGACUACUAAACCGUAACUGACACUGAUGCUCGAAAGCGUGGGUAUCAAACAGGAUUAGAUACCCUUGUAGUC